RNAcentral lists this long non-coding RNA (527 nucleotides) under Lathyrus oleraceus (garden pea). RNAcentral describes it as "Pisum sativum (pea) long non-coding RNA (PSAT_LNC041911)". Lineage: Eukaryota; Viridiplantae; Streptophyta; Magnoliopsida; Fabales; Fabaceae. The record is from RNAcentral.
AGUCAGUUAUGAUGAAUGGAGGAAGAAGCCCUUGUAGAAUGCAGUCAUGGAAACCUAUCUUGGAAACUAUUGCAGAGAAAUCACUCAACAGGAGAACUGAAUCAGAUUUGCAAGACAUUGUUAUCAAUGUUAUCUCAUCCAAUAAAACUUGUUUUCUAGUAGAAUAGUAUUAAUAAUAAGACCCUACAAGGGAUUGAUUAGAUGAACUGUUGGAUGCAAGUGCUGCACUUUCCACACAGUUAGGUGUUUCAUGUUUCAGUAUCAACAAAACCUCCUGAUUUUAAUUCAAGCAUAAUUGUUCGCAAGUUAUCCAUUCAAUUACUAAAGCGUAUAAAACUAGAUAAUCAUUCAUUUCAAUAUUUGUUAAAAUAACUAUCAGAAUAAAGAAAAAUGAAAUGAAAAGAAAAUGAAUACGAUCGAUCGAUAUUUAUUAACGUAGUUCGGUCAAUAAUACAUAUUUUUGCGACUAAAUAAGUUUGGUCAAUAGUGUAUACUUCUGCAACUAUAUAGUAAUUAUAAUUUUUUUC